GCCACAGAAAUGAUUUGUAAACUGUCCUAGAUCUUGAAUUUACAUUUCAUUUUAGUACUGAUCUAUCAUUGAUGAGCACUUAUUUUUGCCUGUUUAGUGCCAUCAAGUCACUACCAGACUUUCCAAAUAGUCAAACACAAUCUUUAUAAGCUGAGUUUUAAAUACUGGUCAUAAAAAAAAGAUCUGCUUCUCAACAAAAGGAGUUUUAAUCAUAAAGAGCACAACUAUUAACUCAUUUCCAUAUUGACUAUUUGAAUAGUUGACUGCUUAUGCUUGGUGACAUAUGUUACUUCCAGUCCAAAGCAGAAGAUACUAGCACGUGUAUGCACAUCCAGCUGCUGGGAUGCCACGGACAUCAUGCUGAGUUCCCUCCCUGUCUGCACUGUGGGAUGGGAACGGGGGUGCAUGUGGCCUCGUAUCAGCACUGUGGGGCCUGAAUGUUCUCCUUUUCCCUUUUUCUCUAAGGCUGAGACCUGCUCUUACCAGUAGCAAGGACUAUAACUUGCUUUCCUUGUCUCUGGCCCAUCCUUCUCUCCAGUGUCUGUCAGUGUGAUUUCAGUGUUUUACUGCCAAGCAAAUCAAAGAAGAAAGGCAUAAGAGUAGUGCCCCAUUUUGUGUGGCAGGAGGAUGUUAGGCAAAUGCUGUUCUCUGCCCAGGUCAGUCCACAGAGCUGGACACCCUGUAGAGACACUCAGGGCAUCAGAGGUUCCCACCAGCUUUGCACUGAAGAGAAACCAACUGUAAAAGUGCAGGAGCAAUACCACUCCCAGCCAGUCUGGUCCCCAGGGAGAUCCACCUCUUCUCUGGAAGCUGGGGCAAGGUGUUGGAGUCUCCCAAUUCCCAUGACAUCUUCUU
Molecule: long non-coding RNA, 855 nt
Organism: Passer domesticus (house sparrow)
Lineage: Eukaryota; Metazoa; Chordata; Aves; Passeriformes; Passeridae
Exons: 4
Source: RefSeq, a predicted model, not a curated record